This 424-nucleotide unclassified non-coding RNA is filed under the name Satsuma sororcula. Its description in RNAcentral is "partial miscellaneous RNA". The record is from RNAcentral. Lineage: Eukaryota; Metazoa; Mollusca; Gastropoda; Stylommatophora; Camaenidae.
CUCCAGCCCGGCGUAUGGCGAUAGCUGUCUCGAAAGGCUGAGCGAGGUGUUCAUGACAAGCGGGCGCUCUCCCAGCCAACGCAACGUAGCAAGGCAGUCGUUUUGUGUGUGUGCGCGUGUGGCCGCAGCCCGAAGCCGAAGUCGCGGUGUGAGCGGGCAAACGAACGAUAAUUUUUGUAUGGUGGUUCGACGCAGUCUCGAAUGGCGCGCACUCGCAGCGAGUUUGUGCGUCGGCAGUCAGAAAGCUGGCAUAGCUUUGUCGGUCAGUCCUGCCCGGCGUAGCAAGAGCUUGUCGGAAGGCGUCCAGUGGUAACCAUGUAUCACUAGGCAGCCGGUGGAGGCGCGCUGAGCGAUGACUCCCCGGGCCUGCGUGUACGUGAAUAGUCCUUUUCGGUGCGACAGAUAUCUGGUUGAUCCUGCCAGU